RNAcentral lists this ribosomal RNA (494 nucleotides) under uncultured bacterium. RNAcentral describes it as "partial 16S ribosomal RNA". It matches the Rfam family "Bacterial small subunit ribosomal RNA", at positions 28 to 507 of the family's 1533-position model. The record is from RNAcentral.
GACGAACGCUGGCGGCGUGCUAAACACAUGCAAGUCGAACGGUGAAGCGCCUUCCUUUUUGGUGGGUGUGGAUGAGUGGCGAACGGGUGAGUAACACGUGAGUAACCUGCCCCCUUCUUCUGGAUAACCGCAUGAAAGUGUGGCUAAUACGGGAUAUUCUGGGUCUGUCGCAUGAUGGGUCUGGGAAAGAUAUUGUUUCGGUGGGGGAUGGGCUCGCGGCCUAUCAGCUUGUUGGUGGGGUGAUGGCCUACCAAGGCGGUGACGGGUAGCCGGCCUGAGAGGGUGGACGGUCACACUGGGACUGAGACACGGACCAGACUCCUACGGGAGGCAGCAGUGGGGAAUAUUGCACAAUGGGCGCAAGCCUGAUGCAGCGACGCCGCGUGAGGGAUGGAGGCCUUCGGGUUGUGAACCUCUUUCGCCAGUGAAGCAGGCCUGCCUCGUUUGUGGGUGGGUUGACGGUAGCUGGAUAAGAAGCGCCGGCUAACUACGUG